RNAcentral lists this long non-coding RNA (1364 nucleotides) under Setaria italica (foxtail millet). RNAcentral's name for it is "long non-coding RNA (SITA_LNC006187)". Lineage: Eukaryota; Viridiplantae; Streptophyta; Magnoliopsida; Poales; Poaceae. The record is from RNAcentral.
CUCCCAAAGAAGGAGAUAGCCGCUCUAAGCGUGAUCCGGAGCGUUACCACCUGUUUUGACACAAUAAGAUCAGAACAUAUCCUCAAGCAACCAUGUGCACACAGCAAGUAAAGCACCCAUAUAGCCCAACCCGUCAAACAAGCGACGAUGGUAAACAUCACCUAGGUUAACCGCAGCAGUGCUGCUUCACUUUUUUGUAUCUUUAAAAUUACAAAAGAUAUGACAGCAAGCAAAUACAUCUUAGAAAACUAAGGGAGAAAUCUUACAACUUUGUUCAGAUCCUUUAUUUUUAGCCUAAUCCAAAGAGGGGUAAAAUUGCAGUUGAAUGUGAAGUACAGAAUCUGUCUGAAAUUUCGGGCAGCAGCAUACAAAAAUUCAUAUCUCCCAAACCCCUUGUCCAAAAAUUCUAAAAUUUUGUCAGGACAUAUAUCUCUGAGAAACCUAAAACUUUGUUAUUAUGGUUUUCCACGAAUUCCAUCCUUAAGAUCAUCUAAUACAUCUCUGAACAUCUGCUGUCAAAAAUCUGGACAUUCAGAAACAGCGUCCAAACAAUAUUCAAUAACUGAAGGUAUACUCCACCAAAAAAUAUGAAACUUGGACAGCAGUUACAUCUCAUAAUUCUCUACAACUUUGGUAUAAUCCACUUUUGGAGGAGAAAUCGUUUAGGUCGCCAAAACUACAAGGACAGCAGCACUGCCCGAGCUACAGGACAGCACACCUUAAAUCGACCUUCGAACCGUGUUUUCCCCAACAAAUCCACUAAUCCUCAGGACCAAGAACCUCCUAAAAACAUCAAUUAGCAGAUCUAAAGUGGAUUCACCUCACCUUGGUUGUUCCCCAAACCCUAGGGCAGCGGGAAGAUAUGGGGAAAGGACCGAUCUACAUGGAAGAUGCACCUUUCUUGCUCCUCUUGUUGUCCUCGAUCCGUUUUGCUAGUUUCCCCCAAGGGUUUGCUGCUGUAGAGAGGGGAUUUAGGGAGGGGAAGCCAUGGGAGAGCAGGGAAGGAGGAAGAAACGUGAGAAGGAAGAGAGGACCGGUCUGGAUAAGAUGGGUGGGGGGGGCAACGGGCCAGGGAAAAGGGUUGGGCUGGCUGGGCCUUUGAUUUUUUUUUUAGUGUGUUACAUUCUCCCCUCCUUUAAAGAAUUCGUCCCCGAAUUUAACUACUCAAAGGUAUACCAACUUGAUAAAUUAAAACUUACCGCUCUCAAAGAGUUGUGGGUACUUCUUGCGCAUUUGGUCCUCGAGCUCCCAAGUCGCUUCACGCUCAGACUGAUUACUCAUAGAACCUUGACAUAUUUGAUGGUCCUCUUUCUCAUGACUCGCUCGGAUGAGUCUAAGAUACGUUCUGGGUGACAUUCCACAAU